Molecule: small nucleolar RNA, 74 nt
Organism: Nyctereutes procyonoides (raccoon dog)
Lineage: Eukaryota; Metazoa; Chordata; Mammalia; Carnivora; Canidae
Product: small nucleolar RNA SNORD101
Exons: 1
Source: RefSeq, a predicted model, not a curated record
GUUUGAAUGAUGACUGGAGUCGUCGGAUACCCCUCCACUCUCUGCAUGAGUGAGACACUAACAGUCUGACAGAC